RNAcentral lists this ribosomal RNA (611 nucleotides) under uncultured Burkholderia sp. RNAcentral's name for it is "bacterial SSU rRNA". It matches the Rfam family "Bacterial small subunit ribosomal RNA", at positions 150 to 756 of the family's 1533-position model. Lineage: Bacteria; Pseudomonadati; Pseudomonadota; Betaproteobacteria; Burkholderiales; Burkholderiaceae. The record is from RNAcentral.
GGCGAAAGCCGGAUUAAUACCGCAUACGCUCUACGGAGGAAAGGGGGGGAUCUUAGGACCUCUCGCUACAGGGGCGGCCGAUGGCAGAUUAGCUAGUUGGUGGGGUAAAGGCCUACCAAGGCGACGAUCUGUAGCUGGUCUGAGAGGACGACCAGCCACACUGGGACUGAGACACGGCCCAGACUCCUACGGGAGGCAGCAGUGGGGAAUUUUGGACAAUGGGCGAAAGCCUGAUCCAGCAAUGCCGCGUGUGUGAAGAAGGCCUUCGGGUUGUAAAGCACUUUUGUCCGGAAAGAAAUCCUUUGGGUUAAUACCCCGGGGGGAUGACGGUACCGGAAGAAUAAGCACCGGCUAACUACGUGCCAGCAGCCGCGGUAAUGCGUAGGGUGCAAGCGUUAAUCGGAAUUACUGGGCGUAAAGCGUGCGCAGGCGGUCCGCUAAGACAGAUGUGAAAUCCCCGGGCUUAACCUGGGAACUGCAUUUGUGACUGGCGGGCUAGAGUAUGGCAGAGGGGGGUAGAAUUCCACGUGUAGCAGUGAAAUGCGUAGAGAUGUGGAGGAAUACCGAUGGCGAAGGCAGCCCCCUGGGCCAAUACUGACGCUCAUGCACGA